AGUGAACGCUGGCGGUAGGCCUAACACAUGCAAGUCGAACGGCAGCACAGAGGAGCUUGCUCCUUGGGUGGCGAGUGGCGGACGGGUGAGGAAUACAUCGGAAUCUACUCUGUCGUGGGGGAUAACGUAGGGAAACUUACGCUAAUACCGCAUACGACCUACGGGUGAAAGCAGGGGACCUUCGGGCCUUGCGCGAUUGAAUGAGCCGAUGUCGGAUUAGCUAGUUGGCGGGGUAAAGGCCCUCCAAGGCGACGAUCCGUAGCUGGUCUGAGAGGAUGAUCAGCCUCACUGGAACUGAGACACAGUCCAGACUCCUACGGGAGGCAGCAGUGGGGAAUAUUGGACAAUGGGCGCAAGCCUGAUCCAGCCAUACCGCGUGGGUGAAGAAGGCCUUCGGGUUGUAAAGCCCUUUUGUUGGGAAAGAAAUCCAGCUGGCUAAUACCCGGUUGGGAUGACGGUACCCAAAGAAUAAGCACCGGCUAACUUCGUGCCAGCCGCCGCCGUAA
Molecule: ribosomal RNA, 506 nt
Filed under: uncultured bacterium
Lineage: Bacteria
Description: partial 16S ribosomal RNA
Rfam family: Bacterial small subunit ribosomal RNA
Source: RNAcentral